CUGAUAUUCUUAGGGUGAAGGUGAGAAUCUUCGAUCAAAGUUCACGUCUCGCUACGCGAGACAACGAUGCGCAGCAAGGCCCGUAGUGCGGCCGCAAGGUAGCGAAUCAUUCUUUCCCCCUCCCUUA
RNAcentral lists this small RNA (127 nucleotides) under Sodalis-like endosymbiont of Proechinophthirus fluctus. Its description in RNAcentral is "RtT RNA". It matches the Rfam family "RtT RNA". From Rfam's summary of the family: This family represents a bacterial cis-regulatory element known as RtT RNA. The exact function of RtT is unknown although it is thought that it may be involved in changing the cellular response in relation to amino acid starvation. Lineage: Bacteria; Pseudomonadati; Pseudomonadota; Gammaproteobacteria; Enterobacterales; Bruguierivoracaceae. The record is from RNAcentral.